This 772-nucleotide ribosomal RNA is filed under the name uncultured Neocallimastigales. RNAcentral describes it as "partial large subunit ribosomal RNA". It matches the Rfam family "Eukaryotic large subunit ribosomal RNA", at positions 23 to 627 of the family's 3401-position model. Lineage: Eukaryota; Fungi; Neocallimastigomycota; Neocallimastigomycetes; Neocallimastigales. The record is from RNAcentral.
AGAGAGAGACAUGCGCGCAUAUCAAUAAGCGGAGGAAAAGAAACUAACUAGGAUUCCCUCAGUAACGGCGAGUGAAGCGGGAAGAGCUCAAAUUUGAAAUCUUCAAGGUUCUACCUUGACGAAUUGUAGUUUAAAGAAGUGUUUUCUGUUGGAGUUUUGGUAAAAGUUCUUUGGAAUAGGACAUCAUAGAGGGUGAGAAUCCCGUAUUUGACCAUUAUUUCCAGCUUUGUGAUACACUUUCAAAGAGUCGGAUUGUUUGGGAAUGCAGUCCAAAAUGGGUGGUAAAUUUCAUCUAAAGCUAAAUAUUGGCGAGAGACCGAUAGCGAACAAGUACCGUGAGGGAAAGAUGAAAAGAACUUUGAAAAGAGAGUUAAACAGUACGUGAAAUUGUCAAAAGGGAAGCGUUUGACACCAGUGUUGUUUUCUCGAAAAUCAAUUAAAAAAGGCAGGAUUUUGUGUUGUAUUGACUUUAUCAGCUUUCUGCACUCUUUUCUUGUCUUUUUUAAUGCACUUUUCGUUUAACAAGUCAACAUCAAUUCUUUUGUUGUAAAAGGGUCAUUGGAAGGUGGCUUUCUUUUCGGAGAAAGUGUUUAUAGCCUUGGCCUCUGCAAUCGGAGAGAUUGAGGUCUGCAGCGUAGAUCCUUCGGGGUUAGAUACAUUUGUGCUAAGUUAUAGCCUUUCAUAGACAACUUGUUGACUAUGAUCAGUCAUGUAGCUUACUCGCUUAUGCUAUUUUACCUACGCUUAGGAUGUUGAUGUGAUACUGCGAGCA